RNAcentral lists this ribosomal RNA (1346 nucleotides) under metagenome. RNAcentral describes it as "bacterial SSU rRNA". It matches the Rfam family "Bacterial small subunit ribosomal RNA", at positions 151 to 1498 of the family's 1533-position model. The record is from RNAcentral.
GCGAAAGUUACGCUAAUACCGCAUACGAUCUACGGAUGAAAGUGGGGGAUCGCAAGACCUCAUGCUCAUGGAGCGGCCGAUAUCUGAUUAGCUAGUUGGUGGGGUAAAAGCUCACCAAGGCGACGAUCAGUAGCUGGUCUGAGAGGACGACCAGCCACACUGGAACUGAGACACGGUCCAGACUCCUACGGGAGGCAGCAGUGGGGAAUUUUGGACAAUGGGCGCAAGCCUGAUCCAGCAAUGCCGCGUGAGUGAAGAAGGCCUUCGGGUUGUAAAGCUCUUUUGUCAGGGAAGAAACGGUUCGGGCUAAUAUCCUGGGCUAAUGACGGUACCUGAAGAAUAAGCACCGGCUAACUACGUGCCAGCAGCCGCGGUAAUACGUAGGGUGCAAGCGUUAAUCGGAAUUACUGGGCGUAAAGCGUGCGCAGGCGGUUGUGCAAGACAGAUGUGAAAUCCCCGGGCUCAACCUGGGAAUUGCAUUUGUGACUGCACGGCUAGAGUGUGUCAGAGGGGGGUAGAAUUCCACGUGUAGCAGUGAAAUGCGUAGAGAUGUGGAGGAAUACCGAUGGCGAAGGCAGCCCCCUGGGAUAACACUGACGCUCAUGCACGAAAGCGUGGGGAGCAAACAGGAUUAGAUACCCUGGUAGUCCACGCCCUAAACGAUGUCUACUAGUUGUCGGGUCUUAAUUGACUUGGUAACGCAGCUAACGCGUGAAGUAGACCGCCUGGGGAGUACGGUCGCAAGAUUAAAACUCAAAGGAAUUGACGGGGACCCGCACAAGCGGUGGAUGAUGUGGAUUAAUUCGAUGCAACGCGAAAAACCUUACCUACCCUUGACAUGUCCGGAAUCCUUGAGAGAUCAGGGAGUGCUCGAAAGAGAAUCGGAACACAGGUGCUGCAUGGCUGUUGUCAGCUCGUGUCGUGAGAUGUUGGGUUAAGUCCCGCAACGAGCGCAACCCUUGUCAUUAGUUGCUACGAAAGGGCACUCUAAUGAGACUGCCGGUGACAAACCGGAGGAAGGUGGGGAUGACGUCAAGUCCUCAUGGCCCUUAUGGGUAGGGCUUCACACGUCAUACAAUGGUACAUACAGAGGGCCGCCAACCCGCGAGGGGGAGCUAAUCCCAGAAAGUGUAUCGUAGUCCGGAUUGUAGUCUGCAACUCGACUACAUGAAGUUGGAAUCGCUAGUAAUCGCGGAUCAGCAUGUCGCGGUGAAUACGUUCCCGGGUCUUGUACACACCGCCCGUCACACCAUGGGAGCGGGUUUCACCAGAAGUGGGUAGCCUAACCGCAAGGAGGGCGCUCACCACGGUGGGAUUCGUGACUGGGGUGAAGUCGUAACAAGGUA